RNAcentral lists this ribosomal RNA (468 nucleotides) under uncultured bacterium. RNAcentral describes it as "partial 16S ribosomal RNA". It matches the Rfam family "Bacterial small subunit ribosomal RNA", at positions 28 to 507 of the family's 1533-position model. The record is from RNAcentral.
GACGAACGCUGGCGGCGUGCUUAACACAUGCAAGUAGAACGGAAAGGCCCUGCUUUUGUGGGGUGCUCGAGUGGCGAACGGGUGAGUAACACGUGAGUAACCUGCCCUUGACUUUGGGAUAACUUCAGGAAACUGGGGCUAAUACCGGAUAGGAGCUCCUGCUGCAUGGUGGGGGUUGGAAAGUUUCGGCGGUUGGGGAUGGACUCGCGGCUUAUCAGCUUGUUGGUGGGGUAGUGGCUUACCAAGGCUUUGACGGGUAGCCGGCCUGAGAGGGUGACCGGCCACAUUGGGACUGAGAUACGGCCCAGACUCCUACGGGAGGCAGCAGUGGGGAAUAUUGCACAAUGGGCGGAAGCCUGAUGCAGCAACGCCGCGUGCGGGAUGACGGCCUUCGGGUUGUAAACCGCUUUCGCCUGUGACGAAGCGUGAGUGACGGUAAUGGGUAAAGAAGCACCGGCUAACUACGUG